RNAcentral lists this ribosomal RNA (122 nucleotides) under Nectria dacryocarpa. Its description in RNAcentral is "partial 28S ribosomal RNA". It matches the Rfam family "Eukaryotic large subunit ribosomal RNA", at positions 1 to 121 of the family's 3401-position model. The record is from RNAcentral. Lineage: Eukaryota; Fungi; Ascomycota; Sordariomycetes; Hypocreales; Nectriaceae.
UUGACCUCGGAUCAGGCAGGAAUACCCGCUGAACUUAAGCAUAUCAAUAAGCGGAGGAAAAGAAACCAACAGGGAUUGCCCCAGUAACGGCGAGUGAAGCGGCAACAGCUCAAAUUUGAAAU